GAGGAAAAGAAACUAACAAGGAUUCCCCUAGUAACGGCGAGCGAAGCGGGAAGAGCUCAAAUUUGAAAGCUGGCGUCUUCGGCGUCCGCGUUGUAAUCUCGAGACGUGUUUUCCGUGCGGCUCUAUGGACAAGUCCCUUGGAACAGGGCAUCGUAGAGGGUGAAAAUCCCGUACUUGCCAUGGAAGUACCGUGCUUUGUGAUACACGCUCCAAGAGUCGAGUAGUUUGGGAUUGCUGCUCAAAGUGGGUGGUAGACUCCAUCUAAAGCUAAAUAUCGGGGAGAGACCGAUAGCGAACAAGUACCGUGAGGGAAAGAUGAAAAGCACUUUGGAAAGAGAGUUAAAAGUACGUGAAAUUGUCGAAAGGGAAGCACUUGAAGUCAGCCAUGCUGCUUGAGACUCAGCCUGGCUUUUGCUUGGUGUAUUUCUCGGUAGCAAGCCAGCAUUGGUUUGUGUCGUCGGAGAAGCGUAUGGGGAAUGUGGCAUCCUCGGAUGUGUUAUAGCCCUGUGCAGGAUACGACGACGUAGACCAAGGAACGCAGUGUGCCCUCUGGGCGGG
This 558-nucleotide ribosomal RNA is filed under the name Malassezia restricta. Its description in RNAcentral is "eukaryotic LSU rRNA". It matches the Rfam family "Eukaryotic large subunit ribosomal RNA", at positions 53 to 617 of the family's 3401-position model. The record is from RNAcentral. Lineage: Eukaryota; Fungi; Basidiomycota; Malasseziomycetes; Malasseziales; Malasseziaceae.